This 709-nucleotide ribosomal RNA is filed under the name Pseudomonas aeruginosa. RNAcentral describes it as "bacterial SSU rRNA". It matches the Rfam family "Bacterial small subunit ribosomal RNA", at positions 58 to 762 of the family's 1533-position model. The record is from RNAcentral. Lineage: Bacteria; Pseudomonadati; Pseudomonadota; Gammaproteobacteria; Pseudomonadales; Pseudomonadaceae.
CAAGUCGAGCGGAUGAAGGGAGCUUGCUCCUGGAUUCAGCGGCGGACGGGUGAGUAAUGCCUAGGAAUCUGCCUGGUAGUGGGGGAUAACGUCCGGAAACGGGCGCUAAUACCGCAUACGUCCUGAGGGAGAAAGUGGGGGAUCUUCGGACCUCACGCUAUCAGAUGAGCCUAGGUCGGAUUAGCUAGUUGGUGGGGUAAAGGCCUACCAAGGCGACGAUCCGUAACUGGUCUGAGAGGAUGAUCAGUCACACUGGAACUGAGACACGGUCCAGACUCCUACGGGAGGCAGCAGUGGGGAAUAUUGGACAAUGGGCGAAAGCCUGAUCCAGCCAUGCCGCGUGUGUGAAGAAGGUCUUCGGAUUGUAAAGCACUUUAAGUUGGGAGGAAGGGCAGUAAGUUAAUACCUUGCUGUUUUGACGUUACCAACAGAAUAAGCACCGGCUAACUUCGUGCCAGCAGCCGCGGUAAUACGAAGGGUGCAAGCGUUAAUCGGAAUUACUGGGCGUAAAGCGCGCGUAGGUGGUUCAGCAAGUUGGAUGUGAAAUCCCCGGGCUCAACCUGGGAACUGCAUCCAAAACUACUGAGCUAGAGUACGGUAGAGGGUGGUGGAAUUUCCUGUGUAGCGGUGAAAUGCGUAGAUAUAGGAAGGAACACCAGUGGCGAAGGCGACCACCUGGACUGAUACUGACACUGAGGUGCGAAAGCGU